This 430-nucleotide ribosomal RNA is filed under the name Bacteroidota bacterium. Its description in RNAcentral is "Bacteroidetes bacterium partial 16S ribosomal RNA". It matches the Rfam family "Bacterial small subunit ribosomal RNA", at positions 355 to 776 of the family's 1533-position model. Lineage: Bacteria; Pseudomonadati; Bacteroidota. The record is from RNAcentral.
UAGGGAAUCUUCGGCAAUGGGGGGAACCCUGACCGAGCAACGCCGCGUGAGUGAAGAAGGUUUUCGGAUCGUAAAGCUCUGUUGUUAAGGAAGAACGAGUGUGAGAAUGGAAAGUUCAUGCUGUGACGGUACUUAACCAGAAAGCCACGGCUAACUACGUGCCAGCAGCCGCGGUAAUACGUAGGUGGCAAGCGUUGUCCGGAUUUAUUGGGCGUAAAGCGAGCGCAGGCGGUCAAUUAAGUCUGAUGUGAAAGCCCCCGGCUCAACCGGGGAGGGUCAAUGGACACUGGUUGACAUGAGUGCAGAAGAGGGGAGUGGAAUUCCAUGUGUAGCGGUAAAAUGCGUAGAUAUAUGGAGGAACACCAGUGGCGAAGGCGACUCUCUGGUCUGUAACUGACGCUGAGGCUCGAAAGCGUGGGUAGCAAACAGG